GAUGAACGCUGGCGGCGUGCCUAACACAUGCAAGUCGAACGGAGUCCAGCCUUAGAGACCUUCGGGUCAAAGAGGGGAAGACUGAGUGGCGGACGGGUGAGUAACACGUGGGCAACCUGGCUCAUAGAGGGGGAUAACAGAGAGAAAUUUCUGCUAAUACCGCAUAAGCACACACUGCCGCAUGGCAGAGUGUGAAAAGAGAAUCGCUAUGAGAUGGACCCGCGUCUGAUUAGCCAGUUGGCAGGGUAAGAGCCUACCAAAGCGACGAUCAGUAGCCGAUUUGAGAGGAUGAACGGCCACAUUGGGACUGAGACACGGCCCAAACUCCUACGGGAGGCAGCAGUGGGGGAUAUUGCACAAUGGGGGGAACCCUGAUGCAGCGACGCCGCGUGAGUGAAGAAGUAUUUCGGUAUGUAAAGCUCUAUCAGCAGGGAAGAUAAUGACAGUACCUGAAUAAGAAGCCCCGGCGAACUACGU
Molecule: ribosomal RNA, 477 nt
Filed under: uncultured bacterium
Lineage: Bacteria
Description: partial 16S ribosomal RNA
Rfam family: Bacterial small subunit ribosomal RNA
Source: RNAcentral